AUGUGGAAGAAAAAUUCUGCAAAAUAUUACAGAAAAAAAAAGCAAGAGCAAGCACUUCUAGAUCUAUCCCCAGCAUCUUCAUUUUCUGAGACAGAAAAUUCCUUUGGAAAUGAAGAAAAUAACAGACAGGAACAAGACACAAAUAAUGAAAGUCUGAACAGAACACCAGCAAAAGAAAGUUUAGACCUGAAAGGGCCAAUUGAGGCAUCAACCCCACAGAGAACACGGCCAGUCAUUAAAAAAAGAGAGCGGGCAUCAAGGACUGUGGCCAAAUUAAGAGCAAAACUAAGGUAUGUUGAAGAGAAACUUAGGGCAAAGAAAACACAACUGCUGACACUAAACAGAAAAAUUAGAAGGCUGGCGGCUAAUAGAACAAAAAGUGCAAUGCUACCAGCAAAUAUUUCACAGAGGGUCAGUAUCAGAGAGGCUAAAAAGGGACUGAUGAUCAAUAGCAGGCGCAAACAACUUGACAAGAUUGUGAGCAUGUUCCUACAUCGGGAUGAUGUCUCAACUAUCAUAAAUGGCAAGUCUGGAGAGAUUCGUCGCAAGGGACAAAUUUAUAGAAAAAGAGCACUCACAGACACCAUGGCAAAACUCCAUCAACGCUUCCUUGUUGAACAUCCUGAGCAAACAGUGUCCAAAGCUCAGUUCUUUAGAUUGAGGCCAUUUUGGAUUAUUAGGCCUAAAGUUAAAGACAGAGAGACGUGUGCAUGUAAAAUGCACGAGAACAUUGGCUUUAAAUUAAAAAGAAUGCAACAACUGGGUAUCAUUGAAACAUCAAGCCCAGAGGAUCUUGUGCAGUCCAGUGUGUGUGACACUGGCAACAUGUCCUGCAUGUACGGCAGAUGUCAAAAAUGCAUUGAAAAGACCUUUCCCACAUCCUUAGAUCCUCUCACUCAGGGGAACACGGUCAUCUGGCAAGAGUGGGUCACAAGGUCUGUCACUGUAACAAAGACCCUCAAGGAUGGAUCUACAGAAGAAAGGCAGACAAAGAAAACGGUCCUCGAAAAACGUACCUCAUCCAUUGAGCGGUUGCUGGCCCUAACAACAGAACACCUUCCAGGUUUUGCCAUUCACAUGUUUAAUGUCAAGAACCAAUAUUUGUCAUUGAAAGCAAUGAAAGAUACCCUGACAGAUGAUGCUGUUGCUGUGCAUGUAGAUUACAGCGAAAAUUACAGCUGCAAAUAUGCCAAAGAAAUCAAGGACACCCAUUUUGGAACUGGGAAUGAUCAGGUAACCCUCCACACCGGGGUACUCUAUCUCAGUAGGGGCAGAGUGGAAGCCUUUGCAUCCCUCUCAUCAUCUCUACAGCACGAUGCAGUGGCAACCUGGGCUCAUCUUGACCCAGUGCUGAGAUACAUACGAGGAAAGUAUCCUGAAGUCCACAACCUACAUUUCAUUUCAGAUGGCCCAACUUCCCAGUAUAGAAACAAAACAUCUUUCUAUCUAGCCUCCACUGUGCCCUUUAUGCAUGGAUUUGAAUGGGUGACCUGGAACUAUACUGAGGCAUCACAUGGCAAAGGUGCACCAGAUGGAGUUGGUGGGGCCUUGAAGAAUCUUGCGGACAGAAUUGUUUCUUAUGGGACCAGUAUUCCUGAUGCAGACUCUCUGUAUGAGCAGCUGAAGAACAAUUCAUCAGUGACUCUGUACAAAGUAUCAGAGGAGAAAAUAAAGGCCAGCCGCGAAUUGGUUCCCCCCAACCUGAAAGCAGUUCCUGGGACACUGAAAAUACACCAACUGACAUCCACAAAACCAGGAGUCAUAAAUACACGGGAGGUGUCAUGCUUUUGUGGAAAAAAUUGCCAGUGCUUUUCUACAAAUUGCCACAUGUUCUCUGAGGAAAGAGAUGAGGACCCUGACAGAACAGAGGCCACCAUAGAGGUUGGACAGUGGGUCCUGGUUGAAUACGAUGGUGACUUGUUCCCUGGUACAGUCACACAGGUGAAUUUAAUUUCAAAAUUUCUGUUAAUGUGUGAAUAUUUCUCAGUUACAUUACAUUAUAGUACAUGCUGUCCUGCCAAAAUUUGUAGAGGCUAUAUAAAUGUUUUUAAAACAGAUUGCUGAAGGGCAGUAUGAAGUCGACACCAUGAAUUGUGCAGGGGAGAACCGCUUCUAUGUACCAAGCAUCAGAUUUCCAGGAGAAAGGGUCUGGUACUAUCGUCAGGACAUACGGGACAUAAUCCCAGAACCACUUCCUGUCACCUCCUCUGCUAGACAUUUCUGCAUUUUACCUGACAUAUGGGCAAAACACAAGAAAUGCUCAUGAAUGAGUUACAGUUUAGGGAAAAGGUGAUUGGUACAGAGCAGUCAUUCCAGUUGUUUGUUCUAGUUGUUUGACCAACUCAAAUCGAGUUGCUGCUAUUCAAGUUCUUCACAUUAAAUUAUUCUCAGAAAAAGUUUGUGUGGUUCAAUGUCAGGACCAAAUUGUUUUAGCUAAACUAAAUUCUUUUUACAAGAGCACAUGAUGCUGUUAAAUUUAAAUGUUUCUCAGGACCACAUGAUGAUAUGUUACAUUGAAAUAGUUCUCAUCACAGGGUUGUAUGUUUAACUAGAAUGAUAAAAUGUAUACUAAUGGUUGUAUAAUUGUUAGUACUACAGUGUAGGCUACAUGACAUGAUUCUUAAGAAGAGCACAAGAUUGUAACUUGUUAACACAAGUCAUGGUAUUGUGAUGAUUACAAUAAAUGAGAAAAUGAAACACUGUUUAUGAAAUAAAUGUUCUUUUAAAAAUUGUAUGAGUUUUAAAUAUGUAAUAUAGGGUUAGGCAUCAAACCCCUUUGUCAACAGUCAAUGUUUGAGCUAAAUAUCAUUUCCGAAACAUUGAUCCUCAUUACCGAAAUGACAUUUUCAUUACCGCAACAUGUAUAUUUUUUACAAAUUAAGCAAUAAUUAGAUCAUCAUAAUUUGUUUUAAAAUGCAUAUACAUAUUAUACAACACUGCUUAUUUAAAGUCUGCUACAUGACAAAUGUGUAUGGUAUCUUUUAGUAAAAUAAUUAAAUAAAAGAAAUUGUAAGUCAUCGCGCAUGUUUCGGUAAUGAGAGAAAAUAAGGAAAUUACAAAAAAUAAUAAAUAUGAAAAAGUAAUAUUUCCAGAGUUUAACAUAGCUUUGAGCAUGAGUAAUAAGGGUCUACUUUAACAUUAGCCAAAAAUACACAUUUUUAACCAUAUAUUUAAUGUAAUGUCAUGUUGCGGUAAUGAUAAUUUUUUAUGGACUUCAUCUAAAAAAUAAAAAAAUUAUAUAGGAAAUAUUUUUUUAAAUCUUCUAAAAAUAAUGGUUAUAGUAAGUUCAGACCUCAAUCUUAUAUGUGCAAAAAGAAAAUUGGCUUCAAGGGCAUUUUAAAAAUUCUGAUGCUAGACACCUGCUAUAUCUGGAUUUCAUGAGAAUCACCCGUGUGUUUCAGGGUUUAUUAAACAUUUCAGUUCCAAUAAUGGCCACAGAUCUGCGAUUAGAACGGUAAAAGCUUUUAAUGUAGUCAGCUGUUGUAUUGAGUCACGUCAUCAUCCUACACUGAUCAAAGCAUAUAUACCCCUCUGUAUUAGCAUAAAAAAAACAUAUGUUCAUGUGAACUGCAUCCUUGAAAUAUAUGGCACCGUAUUAAGCAGUAUAGAGUAUCUGUGCUCACGAAAUGUUCUGAAAAGUAUGCGAAUUUGACAAUUCUGCAUUUUAUUUACUUCAUGGUGAUAAGUAUGUGAUAUAGACAUGUCUGUUUCUCCCCAUGAACUGAUUUUGGACAGGCUUCUGAAGCAGAGUAAUGGUCUAUAGCUGAUCUACAGCUAAAUAUAGAAGCGUUGGUUAUAACCAUUGGAUAUUCCAUACUACGUACAUUUAAUAAUAAUAAAAUAUGACACUGACCGCAAGGGAAAGAGGAGAACGAGGAGGAUGAUGAGAAGAAUGAGGAGGAGGAUGAGAAGGAGAAUAAAAAUGAAGAGGAGGAUGAAAAGAAGGAUGAGGAUAAUAAGAAUGAGGAAGAGGCUGAGAAGGGUAUGGAGAUGGAAAAUGAGGAGGAGGAUAAGAAGGAUGAGGAUGAGAAGGAUGAGGAGGAGGAUGAAAAGAAUGAUAAGGAUGAGAAGAAGUAAAUGGAGAAGGAGAUUGAGGAUGAGGAGAGGGAGGAAGAACUUAAAUGGAGAUGCAGAAGGUAAAGUUGAUUGAAAAAAACCCAUAAGGAACCAUGCAGCCAAAGAUAAAUUGUUUUCAAUAAACUCAAGUAAACUUGCCAAAGUGGUCCCUGUCUGUAAUAUAUAUAUUGUUAUAGUUUAACAAAAUUAUUAAGCACCCACUGAGAAACCUGAUGAAAGUGUGACCUCAGACCUUGUCUGAGUUCUCCUUGCCUUGUCAGAGGAGAACUGGCCCCCCAACUGAGCCUGGUUUCUCCCAAUAUUUUUCUCUAUUCUGUCACCAAUGGAGUUUUGGUUCCUUGCCGCUGUUGCUUCUGGCUUGCUUAGUUGGGGUCACUUCAUUUACAGUGAAAUUAUUGACUUGAUUGCAAAUUGCAAAAAAGACACUAUUUAAACUAACUUGAGAUGACAUCACUGAAUUCAAUGAUGAAUGCCUUCAACUGUUAUUUUGCAUUAUUGAAACACUGUUUUCCUAAUUAAUGUUGUUCAGUUGCUUUGAUGCAAUGUAUUUUGUAUAUAUAAAUAAAGGUGACUUGACUUGACUUACGGUACAGGUGCUGAGAGCAGUCAAAUGCAUUUAAAGAAGCUGUCAUACACACA
RNAcentral lists this long non-coding RNA (4716 nucleotides) under Carassius auratus (goldfish). Its description in RNAcentral is "lncRNA (ENSCARG00000056145.1)". Lineage: Eukaryota; Metazoa; Chordata; Actinopteri; Cypriniformes; Cyprinidae. The record is from RNAcentral.